GGGUUGUGAGGUUAAGCGACUAAGCGUACACGGUGGAUGCCCUGGCAGUCAGAGGCGAUGAAGGACGUGCUAAUCUGCGAUAAGCGUCGGUAAGGUGAUAUGAACCGUUAUAACCGGCGAUUUCCGAAUGGGGAAACCCAGUGUGUUUCGACACACUAUCAUUAACUGAAUCCAUAGGUUAAUGAGGCGAACCGGGGGAACUGAAACAUCUAAGUACCCCGAGGAAAAGAAAUCAACCGAGAUUCCCCCAGUAGCGGCGAGCGAACGGGGAGGAGCCCAGAGCCUGAAUCAGUGUGUGUGUUAGUGGAAGCGUCUGGAAAGGCGCGCGAUACAGGGUGACAGCCCCGUACACAAAAAUGCACAUACUGUGAGCUCGAUGAGUAGGGCGGGACACGUGGUAUCCUGUCUGAAUAUGGGGGGACCAUCCUCCAAGGCUAAAUACUCCUGACUGACCGAUAGUGAACCAGUACCGUGAGGGAAAGGCGAAAAGAACCCCGGCGAGGGGAGUGAAAAAGAACCUGAAACCGUGUACGUACAAGCAGUGGGAGCCUCUUUAUGGGGUGACUGCGUACCUUUUGUAUAAUGGGUCAGCGACUUAUAUUCUGUAGCAAGGUUAACCGAAUAGGGGAGCCGAAGGGAAACCGAGUCUUAACUGGGCGUUAAGUUGCAGGGUAUAGACCCGAAACCCGGUGAUCUAGCCAUGGGCAGGUUGAAGGUUGGGUAACACUAACUGGAGGACCGAACCGACUAAUGUUGAAAAAUUAGCGGAUGACUUGUGGCUGGGGGUGAAAGGCCAAUCAAACCGGGAGAUAGCUGGUUCUCCCCGAAAGCUAUUUAGGUAGCGCCUCGUGAAUUCAUCUCCGGGGGUAGAGCACUGUUUCGGCAAGGGGGUCAUCCCGACUUACCAACCCGAUGCAAACUGCGAAUACCGGAGAAUGUUAUCACGGGAGACACACGGCGGGUGCUAACGUCCGUCGUGAAGAGGGAAACAACCCAGACCGCCAGCUAAGGUCCCAAAGUCAUGGUUAAGUGGGAAACGAUGUGGGAAGGCCCAGACAGCCAGGAUGUUGGCUUAGAAGCAGCCAUCAUUUAAAGAAAGCGUAAUAGCUCACUGGUCGAGUCGGCCUGCGCGGAAGAUGUAACGGGGCUAAACCAUGCACCGAAGCUGCGGCAGCGACGCUUAUGCGUUGUUGGGUAGGGGAGCGUUCUGUAAGCCUGCGAAGGUGUGCUGUGAGGCAUGCUGGAGGUAUCAGAAGUGCGAAUGCUGACAUAAGUAACGAUAAAGCGGGUGAAAAGCCCGCUCGCCGGAAGACCAAGGGUUCCUGUCCAACGUUAAUCGGGGCAGGGUGAGUCGACCCCUAAGGCGAGGCCGAAAGGCGUAGUCGAUGGGAAACAGGUUAAUAUUCCUGUACUUGGUGUUACUGCGAAGGGGGGACGGAGAAGGCUAUGUUGGCCGGGCGACGGUUGUCCCGGUUUAAGCGUGUAGGCUGGUUUUCCAGGCAAAUCCGGAAAAUCAAGGCUGAGGCGUGAUGACGAGGCACUACGGUGCUGAAGCAACAAAUGCCCUGCUUCCAGGAAAAGCCUCUAAGCAUCAGGUAACAUCAAAUCGUACCCCAAACCGACACAGGUGGUCAGGUAGAGAAUACCAAGGCGCUUGAGAGAACUCGGGUGAAGGAACUAGGCAAAAUGGUGCCGUAACUUCGGGAGAAGGCACGCUGAUAUGUAGGUGAAGCGACUUGCUCGUGGAGCUGAAAUCAGUCGAAGAUACCAGCUGGCUGCAACUGUUUAUUAAAAACACAGCACUGUGCAAACACGAAAGUGGACGUAUACGGUGUGACGCCUGCCCGGUGCCGGAAGGUUAAUUGAUGGGGUUAGCGGUAACGCGAAGCUCUUGAUCGAAGCCCCGGUAAACGGCGGCCGUAACUAUAACGGUCCUAAGGUAGCGAAAUUCCUUGUCGGGUAAGUUCCGACCUGCACGAAUGGCGUAAUGAUGGCCAGGCUGUCUCCACCCGAGACUCAGUGAAAUUGAACUCGCUGUGAAGAUGCAGUGUACCCGCGGCAAGACGGAAAGACCCCGUGAACCUUUACUAUAGCUUGACACUGAACAUUGAGCCUUGAUGUGUAGGAUAGGUGGGAGGCUUUGAAGUGUGGACGCCAGUCUGCAUGGAGCCGACCUUGAAAUACCACCCUUUAAUGUUUGAUGUUCUAACGUUGGCCCCUGAUCGGGGUUGCGGACAGUGUCUGGUGGGUAGUUUGACUGGGGCGGUCUCCUCCUAAAGAGUAACGGAGGAGCACGAAGGUUGGCUAAUCCUGGUCGGACAUCAGGAGGUUAGUGCAAUGGCAUAAGCCAGCUUGACUGCGAGCGUGACGGCGCGAGCAGGUGCGAAAGCAGGUCAUAGUGAUCCGGUGGUUCUGAAUGGAAGGGCCAUCGCUCAACGGAUAAAAGGUACUCCGGGGAUAACAGGCUGAUACCGCCCAAGAGUUCAUAUCGACGGCGGUGUUUGGCACCUCGAUGUCGGCUCAUCACAUCCUGGGGCUGAAGUAGGUCCCAAGGGUAUGGCUGUUCGCCAUUUAAAGUGGUACGCGAGCUGGGUUUAGAACGUCGUGAGACAGUUCGGUCCCUAUCUGCCGUGGGCGCUGGAGAACUGAGGGGGGCUGCUCCUAGUACGAGAGGACCGGAGUGGACGCAUCACUGGUGUUCGGGUUGUCAUGCCAAUGGCACUGCCCGGUAGCUAAAUGCGGAAGAGAUAAGUGCUGAAAGCAUCUAAGCACGAAACUUGCCCCGAGAUGAGUUCUCCCUGAGACUUUAAGUCUCCUGAAGGAACGUUGAAGACGACGACGUUGAUAGGCCGGGUGUGUAAGCGCAGCGAUGCGUUGAGCUAACCGGUACUAAUGAACCGUGAGGCUUAACCUUACAACGCCGAAGGUGUUU
This 2932-nucleotide ribosomal RNA is filed under the name Escherichia coli. RNAcentral describes it as "23S ribosomal RNA". It matches the Rfam family "Bacterial large subunit ribosomal RNA". Lineage: Bacteria; Pseudomonadati; Pseudomonadota; Gammaproteobacteria; Enterobacterales; Enterobacteriaceae. The record is from RNAcentral.